RNAcentral lists this ribosomal RNA (496 nucleotides) under uncultured Streptococcus sp. Its description in RNAcentral is "bacterial SSU rRNA". It matches the Rfam family "Bacterial small subunit ribosomal RNA", at positions 28 to 508 of the family's 1533-position model. The record is from RNAcentral. Lineage: Bacteria; Bacillati; Bacillota; Bacilli; Lactobacillales; Streptococcaceae.
GACGAACGCUGGCGGCGUGCCUAAUACAUGCAAGUAGAACGCUGAAGGAGGAGCUUGCUCUUCUGGAUGAGUUGCGAACGGGUGAGUAACGCGUAGGUAACCUGCCUGGUAGCGGGGGAUAACUAUUGGAAACGAUAGCUAAUACCGCAUAACAGUAGAUAUUGCAUGAUAUCUGCUUGAAAGGUGCAAUUGCAUCACUACCAGAUGGACCUGCGUUGUAUUAGCUAGUUGGUGAGGUAACGGCUCACCAAGGCGACGAUACAUAGCCGACCUGAGAGGGUGAUCGGCCACACUGGGACUGAGACACGGCCCAGACUCCUACGGGAGGCAGCAGUAGGGAAUCUUCGGCAAUGGACGGAAGUCUGACCGAGCAACGCCGCGUGAGUGAAGAAGGUUUUCGGAUCGUAAAGCUCUGUUGUAAGAGAAGAACGAGUGUGAGAGUGGAAAGUUCACACUGUGACGGUAUCUUACCAGAAAGGGACGGCUAACUACGAGC